UGAGGAAAAGACUUAGCAAAGUUUCGCGGUUUACGCUAAUGAAGCAGAGCAGCACUGAGCCUUUAUGGUGGUUUAUGUACGCUUACGUCAUCAAAUCCAUCGGUUUCGGCCUCGAGCGAGGCUCAGAACACCGAGGGCACACUCUAGCGGCAUAUAGAGGGAAACACAAGAGGUUAUGUCGUGUCCCUCGAAGCACACCAGGCACCACCAGCUGACGUGUGUGUGUUCUUUUCGAGAACGAUAAAGGAUGACGCACGAGUUACCCAGGAAACGUUCUCUAAGAAAAUCGUUUCGAACGUCUGACUUCUCGUCGUUCUCCUUGUUCUCAUCGUCGCCAUCAUCAUCAUCGUUGACGCAUAACAGGGAGGAUAUUGAUGGUUUGACACGAAUAUGUGUGAUAUGGGUAGAAAGAGAUCACUCGACACGUUGGCUAUGUAUGUACAUAUAUCGAACCGUAUUUUAUUUAGCAUCGCACCUGCCUUAUCCUGUCCCUUGUAUUCUUCCCCUCUCGCAGGUGUUUAGAACACGGAAGAAUGCUCCUCUUCUCUCUUCGUGAAGAUAUUCUUACUGCAGUUCAACGCGCGAGCUCUUAUUUGUUAUACCGUUAUUUAUGGAGUCGUCAUAGUGAUAGCAUAAACUGAUACAUGUAUCAAGAUAAUCAAGGAAGUUAUUGCUCAAGAAAAUC
Vespa mandarinia (Asian giant hornet) is the source of this 685-nucleotide long non-coding RNA. NCBI's taxonomy places the organism in Eukaryota, Metazoa, Arthropoda, Insecta, Hymenoptera, Vespidae. The record is from RefSeq and is a predicted model, not a curated record.